This 460-nucleotide ribosomal RNA is filed under the name uncultured bacterium. RNAcentral's name for it is "partial 16S ribosomal RNA". It matches the Rfam family "Bacterial small subunit ribosomal RNA", at positions 338 to 795 of the family's 1533-position model. The record is from RNAcentral.
CCUACGGGAGGCUGCAGUGAGGAAUAUUGGUCAAUGGGCGGAAGCCUGAACCAGCCAAGUAGCGUGCGGGAUGAAGGCCCUACGGGUUGUAAACUGCUUUUGCACGGGAAUAACACCCCUUACUUGUAGAGCUCUGCAUGUACCGUGCGAAUAAGGGCCGGCUAAUUCCGUGCCAGCAGCCGCGGUAAUACGGAAGGGCCGGGCGUUAUCCGGAUUUAUUGGGCUUAAAGGGAGCGUAGGCCGUCCGUCAAGCUCGCUGUGAAAUCUCCGGGCUCAACCCGGGCCCUGCAGUGGAAACUGGAGGCCUGGAGUGCAGGACAGGCAGGCGGAAUUCGUGGUGUAGCGGUGAAAUGCAUAGAUAUCACGAGGAACCCCGAUUGCGAAGGCAGCUUGCUGGAGUGUAACUGACGCUGAGGCUCGAAAGCGCGGGUAGCAAACAGGAUUAGAUACCCGUGUAGUC